This 1343-nucleotide ribosomal RNA is filed under the name uncultured bacterium. RNAcentral describes it as "16S ribosomal RNA". It matches the Rfam family "Bacterial small subunit ribosomal RNA", at positions 28 to 1378 of the family's 1533-position model. The record is from RNAcentral.
GACGAACGCUGGCGGCGUGCUUAACACAUGCAAGUCGAACGGAAAGGCCCUGCUUUUGUGGGGUGCUCGAGUGGCGAACGGGUGAGUAACACGUGAGUAACCUGCCCUUGACUUUGGGAUAACUUCAGGAAACUGGGGCUAAUACCGGAUAGGAGCUCCUGCUGCAUGGCGGGGGUUGGAAAGUUUCGGCGGUUGGGGAUGGACUCGCGGCUUAUCAGCUUGUUGGUGGGGUAGUGGCUUACCAAGGCUUUGACGGGUAGCCGGCCUGAGAGGGUGACCGGCCACAUUGGGACUGAGAUACGGCCCAGACUCCUACGGGAGGCAGCAGUGGGGAAUAUUGCACAAUGGGCGGAAGCCUGAUGCAGCAACGCCGCGUGCGGGAUGACGGCCUUCGGGUUGUAAACCGCUUUCGCCUGUGACGAGGCGUGAGUGACGGUAAUGGGUAAAGAAGCACCGGCUAACUACGUGCCAGCAGCCGCGGUGAUACGUAGGGUGCGAGCGUUGUCCGGAUUUAUUGGGCGUAAAGGGCUCGUAGGUGGUUGAUCGCGUCGGAAGUGUAAUCUUGGGGCUUAACCCUGAGCGUGCUUUCGAUACGGGUUGACUUGAGGAAGGUAGGGGAGAAUGGAAUUCCUGGUGGAGCGGUGGAAUGCGCAGAUAUCAGGAGGAACACCAGUGGCGAAGGCGGUUCUCUGGGCCUUUCCUGACGCUGAGGAGCGAAAGCGUGGGGAGCGAACAGGCUUAGAUACCCUGGUAGUCCACGCUGUAAACGGUGGGUACUAGGUGUGGGGUCCAUUCCACGGGUUCCGUGCCGUAGCUAACGCUUUAAGUACCCCGCCUGGGGAGUACGGCCGCAAGGCUAAAACUCAAAGGAAUUGACGGGGCCCCGCACAAGCGGCGGAGCAUGCGGAUUAAUUCGAUGCAACGCGUAGAACCUUACCUGGGUUUGACAUGGAUCGGGAGUGCUCAGAGAUGGGUGUGCCUCUUUUGGGGUCGGUUCACAGGUGGUGCAUGGCUGUCGUCAGCUCGUGUCGUGAGAUGUUGGGUUAAGUCCCGCAACGAGCGCAACCCUUGUUCACUGUUGCCAGCACGUUAUGGUGGGGACUCAGUGGAGACCGCCGGGGUCAACUCGGAGGAAGGUGGGGAUGACGUCAAGUCAUCAUGCCCCUUAUGUCCAGGGCUUCACGCAUGCUACAAUGGCUGGUACAGAGAGUGGCGAGCCUGUGAGGGUGAGCGAAUCUCGGAAAGCCGGUCUCAGUUCGGAUUGGGGUCUGCAACUCGACCUCAUGAAGUCGGAGUCGCUAGUAAUCGCAGAUCAGCAACGCUGCGGUGAAUACGUUCCCGGG